AGCGGCGGACGGGUGAGUAACGCGUGGGUAACCUGCCCCAUACACAGGGAUAGCCAUUGGAAACGAUGAUUAAUACCUGAUAACACAUUAGUAUCGCAUGAUACAUAUGUCAAAGAUUUAUCGGUAUGGGAUGGACCCGCGUCUGAUUAGCUAGUUGGUAAGGUAAUGGCUUACCAAGGCGACGAUCAGUAGCCGACCUGAGAGGGUGAUCGGCCACACUGGAACUGAGACACGGUCCAGACUCCUACGGGAGGCAGCAGUGGGGAAUAUUGCACAAUGGGCGCAAGCCUGAUGCAGCAACGCCGCGUGAACGAAGAAGGCUUUCGGGUCGUAAAGUUCUUUUCUUAGGGAAGAAAAAUGACGGUACCUAAGGAAUAAGCACCGGCUAAAUACGUGCCAGCAGCCGCGGUAAUACGUAUGGUGCAAGCGUUAUCCGGAAUCACUGGGCGUAAAGGGUACGUAGGCGGUUUUGCAAGUCAGAAGUGAAAGGCUACGGCUCAACCGUAGUAAGCUUUUGAAACUGCAAGA
Molecule: ribosomal RNA, 528 nt
Filed under: uncultured bacterium
Lineage: Bacteria
Description: bacterial SSU rRNA
Rfam family: Bacterial small subunit ribosomal RNA
Source: RNAcentral